This 398-nucleotide long non-coding RNA is filed under the name Musa acuminata (dwarf banana). RNAcentral's name for it is "long non-coding RNA (MACU_LNC009204)". The record is from RNAcentral. Lineage: Eukaryota; Viridiplantae; Streptophyta; Magnoliopsida; Zingiberales; Musaceae.
CGAGCAUCUGGAGGAAGUAGAGGGUGGGGCGGAGGCGGCGGGCCACGUCGGAGACGAGGAGGCGGGGGCGGCGACCGAUGACGCGUCGGAGAUCGCGGCCCUGGACGCCGGCCUCGCGGAGGAGGAAGGCGACGGCGGCGGCGAGGUCGGCGGGGGCGGCGGUGAGGAUCUCGGGGCACAUGCCGCAGGCGCGGCGGAUCUCGGGGGCGGCGAGGCCGAGGGAGCGGAGGAAGUCGACGGCGACGCGGAGGUCGGCGAGGGGAACGGCAACGAGGGCCGGGUGGGCGGCGGCUGCGGCGAAGAGGUCGACGCCAAGGGCGUCGAGGAAGAGGAGCUUGUCGCGGAAGGAGGAGGAGGAAGAGGGGGCGGAAUCGGGAGGCAGAAGGGGAAGAGUGGGG